Molecule: ribosomal RNA, 175 nt
Filed under: Spumella-like flagellate JBNZ41
Lineage: Eukaryota; Chrysophyceae
Also listed under: 3 other names
Description: 5.8S ribosomal RNA
Rfam family: 5.8S ribosomal RNA (bases 15-160)
About the family: 5.8S ribosomal RNA (5.8S rRNA) is a component of the large subunit of the eukaryotic ribosome. It is transcribed by RNA polymerase I as part of the 45S precursor that also contains 18S and 28S rRNA.
Source: RNAcentral
UAUCAAUGACCAAACAGUUUCAGCAACGAAUGUCUAGGUUCCUACAACGAUGAAGAACGCAGCGAAAUGCGAUACGUAAUGCGAAUUGCACGAUCAGCGAGUCAUCAAAACUUUGAACGCAGCUUGCACUUCCUUGUGGAGUGUGUCUGUUGGAGUGUCUGUGGAUCCCCCACAC